RNAcentral lists this small RNA (104 nucleotides) under Flavobacterium caeni. Its description in RNAcentral is "Flavo-1 RNA". It matches the Rfam family "Flavo-1 RNA". Lineage: Bacteria; Pseudomonadati; Bacteroidota; Flavobacteriia; Flavobacteriales; Flavobacteriaceae. The record is from Rfam by way of RNAcentral.
CCCUAGCCCUGAUGGAAGUGGAAAUCCUUUUUGCCAUUGAUGAGAUUUCUCGCUACCCUCGAAAUGCAAAGGCAAAAAGAUUGCAACGUACAGCAGGAAAUAGC